RNAcentral lists this ribosomal RNA (465 nucleotides) under uncultured bacterium. RNAcentral's name for it is "partial 16S ribosomal RNA". It matches the Rfam family "Bacterial small subunit ribosomal RNA", at positions 28 to 507 of the family's 1533-position model. The record is from RNAcentral.
GACGAACGCUGGCGGCGUGCUUAACACAUGCAAGUCGAACGGAAAGGCCCUGCUUGCCGGGUACUCGAGUGGCGAACGGGUGAGUAACACGUGGGUGAUCUGCCCUGCACUUCGGGAUAAGCUUGGGAAACUGGGUCUAAUACCGGAUAGGAGCCAUCUUUAGUGUGGUGGUUGGAAAGUUUUUUCGGUGUAGGAUGAGCUCGCGGCCUAUCAGCUUGUUGGUGGGGUAAUGGCCUACCAAGGCGGCGACGGGUAGCCGGCCCGAGAGGGUGUACGGCCACAGUGGGACUGAGAUACGGCCCAGACUCCUACGGGAGGCAGCAGUGGGGAAUAUUGCACAAUGGGCGCAAGCCUGAUGCAGCGACGCCGCGUGGGGGAGGAAGGCCUUCGGGUUGUAAACUCCUUUCGCUAGGGACGAAGCUUUUUGUGACGGUACCUAGAGAAGAAGCACCGGCUAACUACGUG